This is a long non-coding RNA of Oncorhynchus masou masou (cherry salmon), 275 nucleotides long. RefSeq lists it as uncharacterized. Lineage: Eukaryota; Metazoa; Chordata; Actinopteri; Salmoniformes; Salmonidae. The transcript has 3 exons. The record is from RefSeq and is a predicted model, not a curated record.
GACUGGUUGGGGUCCAGUAGAUACUAAAGCCAGGCAGAGGAAGCCUUCUCAGGUCACCCAGUCUGUGUUCUACCUGGAAGAUGGUAACUUGGGUGUGGUGUUCAAGUCUUACCCCAAACCUAAAAGUGUCCGAAAGUCCAUCCCCUUAGUGACUCUGCCAAAGCAGGAAGAGAUCUGCUCGACCAAACAUUGGCUGAAGAGGUUCAGUAUUAAGAGGCAGAAACUUGACAUCUAUAAGCUGGUGUCUGGACCUGACUGUACACAUCAUAAGAAGC